UGCCCUAUGGAUUCAGUUCUGCAG
This 24-nucleotide microRNA is filed under the name Columba livia (rock pigeon). RNAcentral describes it as "cli-miR-146b-3p". Its record names the gene cli-miR-146b-3p. The record is from miRBase by way of RNAcentral. Lineage: Eukaryota; Metazoa; Chordata; Aves; Columbiformes; Columbidae.